This 402-nucleotide unclassified non-coding RNA is filed under the name plant metagenome. RNAcentral describes it as "partial contains 5.8S ribosomal RNA, internal transcribed spacer 2, and large subunit ribosomal RNA". It matches the Rfam family "Bacterial small subunit ribosomal RNA", at positions 358 to 777 of the family's 1533-position model. The record is from RNAcentral.
GGAAUAUUGCACAAUGGGGGAAACCCUGAUGCAGCGACGCCGCGUGAGCGAAGAAGUAUUUCGGUAUGUAAAGCUCUAUCAGCAGGGAAGAAAAUGACGGUACCUGACUAAGAAGCCCCGGCUAACUACGUGCCAGCAGCCGCGGUAAUACGUAGGGGGCAAGCGUUAUCCGGAUUUACUGGGUGUAAAGGGAGCGUAGACGGCGUAUCAAGUCUGAUGUGAAAGGCAGGGGCUCAACCCCUGGACUGCAUUGGAAACUGGUAUGCUUGAGUGCCGGAGGGGUAAGCGGAAUUCCUAGUGUAGCGGUGAAAUGCGUAGAUAUUAGGAGGAACACCAGUGGCGAAGGCGGCUUACUGGACGGUAACUGACGUUGAGGCUCGAAAGCGUGGGGAGCAAACAGGA